This is a non-coding RNA of Nicotiana tabacum (common tobacco), 699 nucleotides long. The record is from RefSeq and is a predicted model, not a curated record. Lineage: Eukaryota; Viridiplantae; Streptophyta; Magnoliopsida; Solanales; Solanaceae.
UAAUGGUAGGGAAAGGAAUUCAGCUUAAAGGUCCUUGUACUAAGAAUGUAAUUGAAUAUCUUAGACGUUGUGGCAAAGAAGAUUUAGCUUCAAGCAUUGGUAGUAUUAAGUGCUGAUGAAUGACCAAGAUUGCUUUAAUAUCGUGAUCCUACUUGUGCCUCAGCAUUGUCAACAAAUAGUCACCUCACCGUGGAGAUUGACCCUCGAUUGUAUUCCAUAUUCCACCUAAUUGAAUUCUUCUCCAGUUUUGUGCAAUAAAAAAAUAGUUGGGCUUCUAGUCAGGUUGGAUUGAUAACUCUUUCCAGAUUUCAACUUACAUCUCAUUUAUUGAUUUUGCACUCUGAUUUGUGUAUUGUCGGCCGAUAGUCUUAUCCAGCAUGAGAUGGAAAGAGCAGGUGAAGUGCUCCUUUGAAUAUUCAAGUUGAGAAGCGAUACUGUCUGGAAUGGAUCAAAUGCACUCCUUUUAAGUGCCCUCUACUCUCCAGUCGGACGUUUUGGAGUUUCCACCUGUGAAGUGAGCACUAGAAAAUGGACUUCGAAAUGACUCCUGAAAGUUUUAUCUUUCAGAUACAUAAAAUUUUGUUUCUGGAUUUGUGCGAAUGUUAGAAGGCCCUUUUUCUUUGGUAUUCUGAUGCUAUUUUCUUCUUCUACUUGAAACUUCACUUUAUUGUUGUGAUCAGACAUGCGCUGUUUUGUUUC